RNAcentral lists this ribosomal RNA (568 nucleotides) under Helice tientsinensis. RNAcentral's name for it is "partial 12S ribosomal RNA". Lineage: Eukaryota; Metazoa; Arthropoda; Malacostraca; Decapoda; Varunidae. The record is from RNAcentral. RNAcentral also lists the same sequence under 1 other name.
UACUUUAAGAUUAAGUAAAAAUUCAAGGUUAUAGUUAAAUAGGUAAUUAAUAAAAUAUAUAAGUAAUAAAGGGUAAAAUCGGAAUAUUAUUUUGUAUAAAAAAAAAUUCUAAUUGAAGCUAAAAAAGUUUAGUAAUAAACUAGGAUUAGAUACCCUAUUAUUCUAAAAUAAAAUAAUCUAGACCAAAUUAGUAAGAGAUAAAUACUUAAAAUUUAAAAAAUUUGGCGGCAAUUUAAUCUUUUCAGAGGAACCUGUUUUGUAAUCGAUAAACCACGAAAAAUCUUACUUGUUCUUGUAAAUAAAACAGUUUGUAUACCAUCAUUAUCAGAUAAUUCUUAGAGGAGAAAUUAUUAAAUUUGGUUGUUUAGUUAAAUUAGAUCAUGGUGCAGUUUAUGGGCAAGGUAAAAUGGGUUACAAUAAAUUACUUUAUGGCGAAUUAAUAAAAUAAUUUUAUUAUGAAGAAGGAUUUGAUUGUAUUCUUAGUUUAAUAAGCUAACGAGAUAUAAGUUCUAAAUUGUGUACAUAUCGCCCGUCGCUUUCAUUUAUAAGUGAAAUAAGUCGUAACAUA